This 692-nucleotide long non-coding RNA is filed under the name Anser cygnoides (Swan goose). RNAcentral's name for it is "lncRNA (ENSACDG00005013809.1)". Lineage: Eukaryota; Metazoa; Chordata; Aves; Anseriformes; Anatidae. The record is from RNAcentral.
UUCUGACUGUCACAAAGACUUUAAGCUGCUGACCAAAAAAGGAUUCUGUAACCUAAACCACAGAAGCAGAAGAGGUGAUUGAAAGAUACAUAUCAGUUUACACCCAAAAUUAAAGUAUCUAGAUAGUAUUCUUUCAUAGAAGAGAAUCUUAUUUCUAGUUCCAGAUGGAAUGAUACUCACAGAAGUGAUUCAUGUCCUGUCUUCAAGUGCUGGCUAAGCUGAGGCUCGGGAAGGGGAGGAGUAGUCUUGAACGGGAACAACUCCUUGUUUCUCCAGUUUUUCCUUCACAUGAUCUGACACAUUUUCUGUGUGCAAAUGCGCAAAAGAGGCCUUGGAGGAGAGGAUCAACAGCUGCACGGCAGAGGAGAUCUAGCCUGGCUUGGUGGUGGAUGGAUAAACAUGGACAGGAUUUGGUACUAGGGCUGUGGACAUUUUGUGUUACCUUUCACAUAAGACACACAGUUGUUAAAGUCAUCUGCUGCUCAUCUUCUCUACUGCCACAGCUACCUGGUGGGCACAAGGCGGGCUUGAAUGAUUCAGAACAGCUGCCAUUUGGAGAGCGCACUCAGAACUGCUUGGAAAUAGCACUGGGAGGAGAGAGUUCUGUGCAGCAGCGAGACAUUCGGGAUGUCCAGGUGGGUGUGUUUUGGAGUGCUGUCUGCCUGUGCAGCCACCUGAAGGUCAAGCAAUGA